This 235-nucleotide long non-coding RNA is filed under the name Olea europaea (common olive). RNAcentral describes it as "long non-coding RNA (OEUR_LNC007552)". The record is from RNAcentral. Lineage: Eukaryota; Viridiplantae; Streptophyta; Magnoliopsida; Lamiales; Oleaceae.
UGGGGGAUGAACCAAAGAUAAUUAAGCAUCAUAAUUUGAGGGUUUGCGGCUGUGAAAUAAGAGGAAAAAGGGCUGUUUGCUAUGUAUAUUUUGCACAGAGGAAAAACGGCAGCCAUUAUUUUCUGGGGAAAUAAAAUAAGUGUGGGGCGGAGGCAGAGAAGGAACAAUUGAGGUCAAACAUUGCAGCUGUUGGAUUGAUUUCCUAUACAGAGAAGCAAAUUGAAGAGAAGUUAUA